GGGGCUAGCGUUGUUCGGAAUUACUGGGCGUACAGCGCGCGCAGGCGGUCUUUCAAGUCCGUGGUGAAAGCCUGGAGCUCAACUCCAGAACUGCCAUUGAAACUGCAAGACUUGAGUACGAGAGAGGUGAGUGGAAUUCCCAGUGUAGAGGUGAAAUUCGUAGAUAUUCGCAAGAACACCAGUGGCGAAGGCGGCUCACUGGCCCGAUACUGACGCUGAGGCACGAAAGCGUGGGGAGCAAACAGG
Molecule: ribosomal RNA, 246 nt
Filed under: uncultured bacterium
Lineage: Bacteria
Description: partial 16S ribosomal RNA
Rfam family: Bacterial small subunit ribosomal RNA
Source: RNAcentral